ACUCAAAUGAAUAGACGGGGGCCCGCACAAGCAGUGGAGCAUGUGGUUUAAUUCGAUGCAACGCGAAGAACCUUACCUGGGCUCGAAAUGUAGAGGACGAUAUCAGAAAUGAUAUUUCUCGAAAGGGUCUUUACAUAGGUGCUGCAUGGCUGUCGUCAGCUCGUGCCGUGAGGUGUUUGGUUAAGUCCAGCAACGAGCGCAACCCUUAUCGUUAGUUGCCAACGCGUAAUGGCGGGAACUCUAACGAGACUGCCUGGGUUAACCAGGAGGAAGGUGAGGAUGACGUCAAGUCCGCAUGGCCUUUAUGUCCAGGGCUACACACGUGCUACAAUGGUCGGUACAGAAGGCAGCGAAACCGUAAGGCGGAGCAAAUCCUAUAAAACCGAUCUCAGUUCAGAUUGUAGACUGCAACUCGUCUACAUGAAGUUGGAAUUGCUAGUAAUGGCGUGUCAGCAACAACGCCGUGAAUACGUUCCCGGGCCUUGUACACACCGCCCGU
RNAcentral lists this ribosomal RNA (499 nucleotides) under uncultured bacterium. RNAcentral's name for it is "partial 16S ribosomal RNA". It matches the Rfam family "Bacterial small subunit ribosomal RNA", at positions 899 to 1397 of the family's 1533-position model. The record is from RNAcentral.